CAUGCACGUCGAGGGGCAGCACGGGGUAGCAAUACUCUGGUGGCGACCGGCGCACGGGUGAGUAACGCGUAUGCAACCUACCUUUAACAGGAAGAUAGCCCCGAGAAAUCGGGAUUAAUACUCCAUAAUGAUUAAGAAUCGCAUGGUUUUUAAUUUAAAGUUCCGACGGUUAAAGAUGGGCAUGCGUGACAUUAGUUAGUUGGUGAGGUAACGGCUCACCAAGACCACGAUGUCUAGGGGUUCUGAGAGGAUUAUCCCCCACACUGGUACUGAGACAGGNACCANACUNNUACGGGAGGCAGCAGUGAGGAAUAUUGGUCAAUGGUCGCAAGACUGAACCAGCCAUGCCGCGUGCAGGAUGAAUGUUCUAUGAAUUGUAAACUGCUUUUCUAAGGGAAGAAACCUAUCUACGUGUAGGUAGUUGCCGGUACCUUGGGAAUAAGCAUCGGCUAACUCCGUGCCAGCAGCCGCGGUAAUACGGAGGAUGCAAGCGUUAUCCGGAUUUAUUGGGUUUAAAGGGUGCGUAGGCGGACUAAUAAGUCAGUGGUGAAAUCUUGCGGCUCACCGUAAUAUUGCCAUUGAUACUGUUAGUCUUGAAUGCAGUUGANGUAGGCGGANUGUGUAAUGUAGCGGUGAAAUGCUUAGAUAUUACACAGAACACCGAUUGCGAAGGCAGCUUGCUAAACUGUGAUUGACGCUGAUGCNCGAAAGCGUGGGGAUCAAACAGGAU
Molecule: ribosomal RNA, 730 nt
Filed under: uncultured Bacteroidota bacterium
Lineage: Bacteria; Pseudomonadati; Bacteroidota
Description: bacterial SSU rRNA
Rfam family: Bacterial small subunit ribosomal RNA
Source: RNAcentral